UAACGCGUAUGCAACCUACCUAUCAGAGGGGAAUAACCCGGCGAAAGUCGGACUAAUACCGCAUAAAACAGGGGCACCGACAUGGUGAUAUUUGUUAAAGAAAUUCGCUGAUAGAUGGGCAUGCGUUCCAUUAGGUAGUUGGUGAGGUAACGGCUCACCAAGCCGACGAUGGAUAGGGAACUGAGAGGUUGGUCCCCCACACUGGUACUGAGACACGGACCAGACUCCUACGGGAGGCAGCAGUGAGGAAUAUUGGUCAAUGGGCGGGAGCCUGAACCAGCCAAGUCGCGUGAAAAGGAAGAAGGAUCUAUGGUUCGUAAACUUCUUUGCAGGGGAAUAAAGUGCAGGACGUGUCCUGUUUUGUAUGUACCCUGAGAAUAAGGAUCGGCUAACUCCGUGCCAGCAGCCGC
RNAcentral lists this ribosomal RNA (410 nucleotides) under uncultured bacterium. RNAcentral's name for it is "bacterial SSU rRNA". It matches the Rfam family "Bacterial small subunit ribosomal RNA", at positions 111 to 518 of the family's 1533-position model. The record is from RNAcentral.